This 1298-nucleotide ribosomal RNA is filed under the name Vibrio sp. RNAcentral's name for it is "bacterial SSU rRNA". It matches the Rfam family "Bacterial small subunit ribosomal RNA", at positions 75 to 1329 of the family's 1533-position model. Lineage: Bacteria; Pseudomonadati; Pseudomonadota; Gammaproteobacteria; Vibrionales; Vibrionaceae. The record is from RNAcentral.
AACCUUCGGGGAACGAUAACGGCGUCGAGCGGCGGACGGGUGAGUAAUGCCUAGGAAAUUGCCCUGAUGUGGGGGAUAACCAUUGGAAACGAUGGCUAAUACCGCAUGAUGCCUACGGGCCAAAGAGGGGGACCUUCGGGCCUCUCGCGUCAGGAUAUCCCCCAGGGGGGGAUAAGCUAGUUGGGGAGGGAAGGGCUCACCAAGGCGACGACUUCCCCAGCUGGUCUGAGAGGGAUGAUUCACCCACACGGGAAAUGAGAACACCGUUCCCAGACUCCUAGCGGGAGGCACCCAGUGGGGAAUAUUCCACAAUGGGCGCAACCCUGAUGCAGCCAUGCCCGCGUGUGUGAAGAAGGCCUUUCGGGUUGUAAAGCACUUUCAGUCGUGAGGAAGGUAGUGUAGUUAAUAGCUGCAUUAUUUGACGUUAGCGACAGAAGAAGCACCGGCUAACUCCGUGCCAGCAGCCGCGGUAAUACGGAGGGUGCGAGCGUUAAUCGGAAUUACUGGGCGUAAAGCGCAUGCAGGUGGUUUGUUAAGUCAGAUGUGAAAGCCCGGGGCUCAACCUCGGAAUAGCAUUUGAAACUGGCAGACUAGAGUACUGUAGAGGGGGGUAGAAUUUCAGGUGUAGCGGUGAAAUGCGUAGAGAUCUGAAGGAAUACCGGUGGCGAAGGCGGCCCCCUGGACAGAUACUGACACUCAGAUGCGAAAGCGUGGGGAGCAAACAGGAUUAGAUACCCUGGUAGUCCACGCCGUAAACGAUGUCUACUUGGAGGUUGUGGCCUUGAGCCGUGGCUUUCGGAGCUAACGCGUUAAGUAGACCGCCUGGGGAGUACGGUCGCAAGAUUAAAACUCAAAUGAAUUGACGGGGGCCCGCACAAGCGGUGGAGCAUGUGGUUUAAUUCGAUGCAACGCGAAGAACCUUACCUACUCUUGACAUCCAGAGAACUUUCCAGAGAUGGAUUGGUGCCUUCGGGAACUCUGAGACAGGUGCUGCAUGGCUGUCGUCAGCUCCUGGUUGUGAAAAGGUUGGGGUUAAAUCCCGCAACAAAGCGCAACCCUUAUCCUUGGUUUGCCAGCCAAGUAAAGGUCGGGAAAUCCAGGGAGAAAGGCCGGGGAUAAACCGAGAGAAAGGGGGGGACGAAGAAACAAGUCAUCAUGGGGCCCUUACAAGUAAGGGGGGCCACACACGUGCUACAAGGGCGCGAAAAAAAGGGCGGCCAACUUUGCGAAAGUGAGCGAAUCCCAAAAAGUGCGUCGUAGUCCGGAUUGGAGUCUGCAACUCGACUCCAUGAAGUCGG